CAGAUGAUGCUCAAUGUGUAGUCUGAGAUUUAAUGACUGCUGCCUGGCCCUGAUGUCGCUGGUGGUUGGGCUGGAUU
This 77-nucleotide small nucleolar RNA is filed under the name Euglena gracilis. Its description in RNAcentral is "Eg-m122 box C/D methylation-guide". Lineage: Eukaryota; Euglenozoa; Euglenophyceae; Euglenales; Euglenaceae. The record is from RNAcentral.